AGUGAACGCUGGCGAUAGGCCUAACACAUGCAAGUCGAACGGCAGCACAGUAAGAGCUUGCUCUUACGGGUGGCGAGUGGCGGACGGGUGAGGAAUACAUCGGAAUCUACUUUUUCGUGGGGGAUAACGUAGGGAAACUUACGCUAAUACCGCAUACGACCUACGGGUGAAAGCAGGGGAUCUUCGGACCUUGCGCGAUUGAAUGAGCCGAUGUCGGAUUAGCUAGUUGGCGGGGUAAAGGCCCACCAAGGCGACGAUCCGUAGCUGGUCUGAGAGGAUGAUCAGCCACACUGGAACUGAGACACGGUCCAGACUCCUACGGGAGGCAGCAGUGGGGAAUAUUGGACAAUGGGCGCAAGCCUGAUCCAGCCAUACCGCGUGGGUGAAGAAGGCCUUCGGGUUAAAGCCCUUUUGUUGGGAAAGAAAAGCAGCAGGUUAAUACCCCGCUGUUCUGACGGUACCCAAAGAAUAAGCACCGGCUAACUUCGUG
This 490-nucleotide ribosomal RNA is filed under the name uncultured bacterium. RNAcentral describes it as "partial 16S ribosomal RNA". It matches the Rfam family "Bacterial small subunit ribosomal RNA", at positions 29 to 507 of the family's 1533-position model. The record is from RNAcentral.